RNAcentral lists this ribosomal RNA (731 nucleotides) under Pseudomonas azotoformans. RNAcentral's name for it is "bacterial SSU rRNA". It matches the Rfam family "Bacterial small subunit ribosomal RNA", at positions 10 to 740 of the family's 1533-position model. The record is from RNAcentral. Lineage: Bacteria; Pseudomonadati; Pseudomonadota; Gammaproteobacteria; Pseudomonadales; Pseudomonadaceae.
AGUUUGAUCCUGGCUCAGAUUGAACGCUGGCGGCAGGCCUAACACAUGCAAGUCGAGCGGUAGAGAGAAGCUUGCUUCUCUUGAGAGCGGCGGACGGGUGAGUAAUGCCUAGGAAUCUGCCUGGUAGUGGGGGAUAACGUUCGGAAACGGACGCUAAUACCGCAUACGUCCUACGGGAGAAAGCAGGGGACCUUCGGGCCUUGCGCUAUCAGAUGAGCCUAGGUCGGAUUAGCUAGUUGGUGAGGUAAUGGCUCACCAAGGCGACGAUCCGUAACUGGUCUGAGAGGAUGAUCAGUCACACUGGAACUGAGACACGGUCCAGACUCCUACGGGAGGCAGCAGUGGGGAAUAUUGGACAAUGGGCGAAAGCCUGAUCCAGCCAUGCCGCGUGUGUGAAGAAGGUCUUCGGAUUGUAAAGCACUUUAAGUUGGGAGGAAGGGUUGUAGAUUAAUACUCUGCAAUUUUGACGUUACCGACAGAAUAAGCACCGGCUAACUCUGUGCCAGCAGCCGCGGUAAUACAGAGGGUGCAAGCGUUAAUCGGAAUUACUGGGCGUAAAGCGCGCGUAGGUGGUUUGUUAAGUUGGAUGUGAAAUCCCCGGGCUCAACCUGGGAACUGCAUUCAAAACUGACUGACUAGAGUAUGGUAGAGGGUGGUGGAAUUCCUGUGUAGCGGUGAAAUGCGUAGAUAUAGGAAGGAACACCAGUGCGAAGGCGACCACCGACUAAUAC